This 1505-nucleotide ribosomal RNA is filed under the name Escherichia coli. RNAcentral's name for it is "partial 23S ribosomal RNA". It matches the Rfam family "Bacterial large subunit ribosomal RNA", at positions 1 to 1551 of the family's 2925-position model. The record is from RNAcentral. Lineage: Bacteria; Pseudomonadati; Pseudomonadota; Gammaproteobacteria; Enterobacterales; Enterobacteriaceae.
GGUUAAGCGACUAAGCGUACACGGUGGAUGCCCUGGCAGUCAGAGGCGAUGAAGGACGUGCUAAUCUGCGAUAAGCGUCGGUGAGGUGAUAUGAACCGUUAUAACCGGCGAUUUCCGAAUGGGGAAACCCAGUGUGUUUCGACACACUAUCAUUAACUGAAUCCAUAGGUUAAUGAGGCGAACCGGGGGAACUGAAACAUCUAAGUACCCCGAGGAAAAGAAAUCAACCGAGAUUCCCCCAGUAGCGGCGAGCGAACGGGGAGGAGCCCAGAGCCUGAAUCAGUGUGUGUGUUAGUGGAAGCGUCUGGAAAGGCGUGCGAUACAGGGUGACAGCCCCGUACACAAAAAUGCACAUAUUGUGAGCUCGAUGAGUAGGGCGGGACACGUGGUAUCCUGUCUGAAUAUGGGGGGACCAUCCUCCAAGGCUAAAUACUCCUGACUGACCGAUAGUGAACCAGUACCGUGAGGGAAAGGCGAAAAGAACCCCGGCGAGGGGAGUGAAAAAGAACCUGAAACCGUGUACGUACAAGCAGUGGGAGCCUCUUAAUGGGGUGACUGCGUACCUUUUGUAUAAUGGGUCAGCGACUUAUAUUCUGUAGCAAGGUUAACCGAAUAGGGGAGCCGAAGGGAAACCGAGUCUUAACUGGGCGUUAAGUUGCAGGGUAUAGACCCGAAACCCGGUGAUCUAGCCAUGGGCAGGUUGAAGGUUGGGUAACACUAACUGGAGGACCGAACCGACUAAUGUUGAAAAAUUAGCGGAUGACUUGUGGCUGGGGGUGAAAGGCCAAUCAAACCGGGAGAUAGCUGGUUCUCCCCGAAAGCUAUUUAGGUAGCGCCUCGUGAAUUCAUCUCCGGGGGUAGAGCACUGUUUCGGCAAGGGGGUCAUCCCGACUUACCAACCCGAUGCAAACUGCGAAUACCGGAGAAUGUUAUCACGGGAGACACACGGCGGGUGCUAACGUCCGUCGUGAAGAGGGAAACAACCCAGACCGCCAGCUAAGGUCCCAAAGUCAUGGUUAAGUGGGAAACGAUGUGGGAAGGCCCAGACAGCCAGGAUGUUGGCUUAGAAGCAGCCAUCAUUUAAAGAAAGCGUAAUAGCUCACUGGUCGAGUCGGCCUGCGCGGAAGAUGUAACGGGGCUAAACCAUGCACCGAAGCUGCGGCAGCGACACUAUGUGUUGUUGGGUAGGGGAGCGUUCUGUAAGCCUGUGAAGGUGGCCUGUGAGGGUUGCUGGAGGUAUCAGAAGUGCGAAUGCUGACAUAAGUAACGAUAAAGCGGGUGAAAAGCCCGCUCGCCGGAAGACCAAGGGUUCCUGUCCAACGUUAAUCGGGGCAGGGUGAGUCGACCCCUAAGGCGAGGCCGAAAGGCGUAGUCGAUGGGAAACAGGUUAAUAUUCCUGUACUUGGUGUUACUGCGAAGGGGGGACGGAGAAGGCUAUGUUGGCCGGGCGACGGUUGUCCCGGUUUAAGCGUGUAGGCUGGUUUUCCAGGCAAAUCCGGAAAACC